Long non-coding RNA from Apis cerana (Asiatic honeybee), 2939 nucleotides. RefSeq lists it as uncharacterized. The record is from RefSeq and is a predicted model, not a curated record. NCBI's taxonomy places the organism in Eukaryota, Metazoa, Arthropoda, Insecta, Hymenoptera, Apidae.
UUAUAUUCUAUGCUCGUGACCACGCCCAAAUCCACGAACUGUAAAAUAAAACCAAUACAAAGAUUUAGAAUUAGAUACAAAUAUUUAUAAUCAUUCUAUAAUUGGAGAGUUUAAAAGCCAAUCGUAUAACAGUACAAGUCAUAUUCUCUGAAAAUAAUUUAACAAUUUCUUCAUUGUUUUAACUUUCACUUGACAAAUCAAUCAACUAUAUUUCAGAAAUGAAUCAGAAUUCAGAAUUUCAUUAUUCGAUAAAAAUUUCGUAUCGAACAUUAAGAAAACAAUUACGAAAUUCCAUAAAAAUAUUAAGUUAUUAAAAAGAUUACAUUAAAGGUAUAAAUAACAAAUAGUUUAUUUGUAACAAAAUUUAAAUUGAUAAAUAAAUAAGAAAUGAAUUAGUUAUAACAAAAUAUACACUAGAUACGUAUAACGUCAAUAGAAUAUUUCAAUUAUAAUAAUCUUAACCUAACUUUUCGGCGAGGAAGACGAUAUCGAAGUGUGACGAGCUGUUGUAAUCCAUAACAAUAAAAUCUAAGUUAUUUAACUUUCGAUGAAUGCUUACAAAAUAUCUUUCAAAAAUUUGCAGAAUUUUCGAUUUGCAAUAGAAAGCGCGAAGCAUACUGUGACAAGGUGAGAAGAUUUCGAAAGGUUAGAAUUUUUCACGCGCAGCUCUCCAUACGCAGGCUGUUUCACAGCUUGUACCGGCGCUAUCGCCGUGUCUUUUUUCCAUCCUCGAUCGGCGUGUGUCUCUUUGCGUGGGUAUAGCUCCGCCUAUGCAUUCCUUUCUGCGACCGGAAGUCGAGAGAAAACCGAGUACCUGAGCAUUGCGCGUCGUCAGGGCCGACUCGGACGUAGGUACGGUUUUCGUCGUGAAUACCAGCGAGGAUCGGUGUGGACCGAGUAGGUAGAUACGCGGAUACGUAGGUUGUUGGAUACUGUGGGACGUUGUACACGCAGUGAUCUACAAGUUUUGAUUAAGCUUCGAUUUGGGGUAUCAUCUCUUUUCUAAACUUUCUUUUUGCAUUUUCCGAUAAUAUUCAAUGAAUACAAAUAAAACGAUGAUUUUGAAUCUGGAAAUAGAUUGGUUCAAAGUUAUCUAAUCUAACCUAACCUAAUUGGUAUAACCUAUUUAAGAUAUAAUAAAAGACUCAAAAAAUACGAAUCGCUUUUGUUAAUCGGAUCGACGACGUCAUAAGUAUUCACAUAAUUAAUCUUGAAUUUCAUCAUUGUAAAAAUAAUCUUUUUUUCUUAUUCAAUUAUUUGCAGGAUACCUAUAAGAUGUCAAUAAUCUUAUUUAAUAUAAUCUCAUUAAAUCUAAUCUAACAUAAUUUAUACGAUAGAUUAAAUAUUGAAUAUUGAAUAUGAAAUUUUAAUCUUUAAAUCAAUUUUUAAAUUCAAAAUCAAUAUAUUUUAUCCUCUAUUCAUCGAGUAUUAAAAGAUAUAAAAUAAACUUUAAAAAAAAGUCUAAUACCUUAACACGAAGUAGUGGAAAUUUAGACAAAGUUUUUUCGUGAAACUUUAUUUAAUAUCACGAAAUCUUACGUGGAAGAAAAUAUAUUUGUGAAAAAAAAAUAUGUAUACGUAUCUGGAUAUUGUUGAAACAAAACUAACCACCAGAGUGCACUAGUCUCGAUACAUGAAAAAUAAAAGUGUAUAGGUUACAGAAGAAAAGAUUUUUAUUUUUAAUUACUUUUCUUAUAAAAUUGUCCUCAUUCAAGUUAUUUAGUGUUUAUUUUUCCUAUAUAUACAUAUAUACAAAUAUAUUUAUAUUACGUUCAUUAUAAAAGUGUUGUUUAACUGUUAUUUUUUUUUUUUUUUUUUACAUUACUAUCUUCUAACCUCAACAAGAAUGAAUGUUCAAAAAGAAGAUUCAAGGGGAAAUAUAUAUGUAUGAAAUAAUAAUAAUAUAAAAUUAUUAUAUUCGGAUUUAAGAACACCGUAUAGAAUGGUAAGAAAGCUCGAGCAUGUCGUUUAGAAUCGCGUUAUUGCCGUAACACACCUGCAGCUGCAAGAGCGCCAAGUGGGCGAUAAACCCGGACGCAAGUUUGCUUGGGGACACGCGCAGAUUGCCGCUUAUCCUUUUUAAAGAAUUGCGACUCUAAUUACGGUAAUUAAUGAUUACCUCCUCCGAAGGGUUUUAAUCUAUUCAAAAGCCUUCCUCGAUGAAAUUUUGUAACAUCGAAAAGCUUAUUUAUAAAAGAUGUUACUCUUAUUGGAGAAAUUUUAUUGUAAAAUGAUAAUAUCUGAAAAAGAACAUCAAGGAGUAAAGGGAUGAGACUGAAGCGAGGUCGAAAGAAGCAGAAGCAAGCAUGGUAUCAAUCGAUGGACAAUGACCGGUCGUGUAUUUCGAAACCCACGCCACGAAAGAGCAAUAUGCCCACACACACGCUUAUAGUUCGAAUCGAACCACGAGGUCUCUCGUUUCUUUAUCCCUAUAACAUGCUCUCUCUCUCUCUCUUUUCUCCUAUAUUCUUCUCGUUCCUCCGUUCCUGGUUACUUUUAUGGUGUUGUACGAUCGUCCGAUUUUCGACACCCUGCGCGUCCUACCGCAUGCAUUACCAUAUACAGAAUAUAUAUAUAUACAUACAAAUAUGGUGCAUCUUUAAAGAAUUGAUUUUAAACGUUGAAACAAAUAAAAAAAAUUGAUAUAUAUUGAAAUAUCGAUUGAAGUUUAUUUUUCAAAUUAUAACCAAGAAUUUUAUAAACUGAAUAUAAUGAUAAUAUUUAGGUAAUAUUAAGAAAUUAUUGCUCUAUAUGUAUAUUUUCUUUUUACUAUAGUUAUAGUUAGUUUGUUAAAUUCAUCGUUUCUUUUAUACAAUACAAAAACACUCUUUGUAAUUAGUAAAACAAAUUUAACACAACUUUUAUUAAAGCUUUUAUUCAAAGCAAGUGUAUAAAUAUAUCAUAUCACAUAUGUACAAAAUUAUAAUGAUAUAAUUGUA